AGGCUGGGUAGAUUUUCAGAGACCCGUAUGAUGCGGUGCUGAAAUAAGCUUUGGAAUUUAAUUUUCCAACUUAAAAUUAAUCCCUCCUAACUAAAUUCAUAUCUUCAUGUUAAGUUAAACGACACAUCGAAAGGAAAACCAUCUUCAUGUAUCGGAAAAUGGUCCACUGAAGCGUGUGAAGAAACUGUAUUUUGAUGAUGAAACACUUCCAGUGCCACGUUCUACACACUAUUGGAGACAGAUUUAAUGUAGAAAACUACACAAAUAUCUGAAUAAUGUUAUGAAAAAGAUGGAUGAAAUCCACCCAUUACAGUUACCAGAAGCUCCUGUAGUUAGUCACCUAAUUCCAGUUUAGUUCUCUGAGAUUCUUGUGAUGGUGAAUGUUGAGGAACUCUGUGAAGUCCUAGUGUUUUAAUUGACGCAAGAUUACAUGCAAAUUCAGAAGACACUAAGUAUGCAGAAUUCCGAACAGAUACAGUAAAAAAAAAAUUAAAUAAUGUGUAAUUUGGUGACAAAUUAUAGUCAGUUAUAUACAUGUAUAUGUAUGUGUGUAGCAGAAGAUUUUGUAAGGACUUAAAGGAGAAGUACUUUUUGGUAUUUCAGGGAUAAUUUUCUCCAGUUCUCCAUAAAAGCUUAUGUUUGGAUACUCAUUAGGAGUGCCUCGUAACGUUGUUUCUAGUGAGUACCCACAUAAUGUUUUAAGAUUAGAAAUAAUACAAAGUAUCCCAGACCUAUCAACAAACACUCCUCCUUAACAUUAGUCCUCUGUUUGUGUAUGAUAUAUAUAUAUAUCUCAUGAUAUGACAGCAAUAUCUUGCAGACACCACAGCAAGCAAAGUUUCAAUGUGAAAAUUGUUUUGAAAUAUAAUUUGAAAGAAGUCAAAUUAUCAUUGUCUGAACUAGUUUAUUUUAAAUAUGUAGAGCAAUUGUAGGACAAUUGUAGACUUUGGUUCUAGACCUGUUCUAUAUGUGUUCUUAUUCCCCACUAGAAUGUUUGUAGAACUUACUGGUUCUUAAAGAGUUCUAAAUGUGUUCUAGAACUACAGUUUAGAACAUUUUUAGAAAUUUCUUGAACUUAUUUUGUUCUAGAAAUGUUCUAAAAAUGUUCUUGUAUAUUAUUGGAACAGUUUCAGAACUAAGCCUUGUUCCACAAAUGUCUGGAAUUAUUCUAGAAAACAGUUCUGGAACAAUUCCAGAACAUAAGUUCUAGAACGCGAAUAUGGAACAUUCUAGAACUGUUCUUGAUGUUCUAGAACAGUUCCAGAACCGUUCCAAUUUCUAGAACAAAUCUUCGCAGGGGUGAAAGGCACUGGGCAGAUACCAUAUCCACGAUGCCACUAUGACCUAAAUAAUUAUGACCCCCUUAUGUAUUAAUCAGCCUCAAGGUUUAUUACCUUACUACUAUAAAACUGUAAAAAUGGUCUGCUUAUUAUUCUGGCUCUAUUUCUAAAAUUUCACUUGUCUGAACCAUAACUUAUUUACCUUAUAUUAACUUUGACUUAUGGAUUCAUUAGCUAUGACUGUCUUAUAGUUAUUUAUGUAUCAACUCUCAUAAACAAAUGAUUAGUAAUUUAAUCAUACAUACCUAUUGCAUCAGCAUAAUUCCAUAAAGAUCCAUUCAGUCAUAAAGCUAUACAUGUUUUCUUAAAAUUGCAUUAUUUUUGUAAGAAACUCACCAUCUGAUCUGCAUUUGUUUUUUCUUUACCAUUAAGAAAAGGCACAAUAACUU
Molecule: long non-coding RNA, 1729 nt
Organism: Dreissena polymorpha
Lineage: Eukaryota; Metazoa; Mollusca; Bivalvia; Myida; Dreissenidae
Exons: 2
Source: RefSeq, a predicted model, not a curated record